UGGGGAAUUUUGGACAAUGGGCGAAAGCCUGAUCCAGCCAUGCCGCGUGAGUGACGAAGGCCUUAGGGUUGUAAAGCUCUUUUGGCGGGGAAGAUAAUGACGGUACCCGCAGAAUAAGCUCCGGCUAACUUCGUGCCAGCAGCCGCGGUAAUACGAAGGGAGCUAGCGUUGUUCGGAAUCACUGGGCGUAAAGCGCACGUAGGCGGAUUGUUUAGUCAGGGGUGAAAUCCCGGAGCUCAACUUCGGAACUGCCUUUGAUACUGGCAAUCUCGAGUCCGAUAGAGGUGGGUGGAAUUCCUAGUGUAGAGGUGAAAUUCGUAGAUAUUAGGAAGAACACCAGUGGCGAAGGCGGCUAACUGGUCCGGUACUGACGCUGAGGCGCGAAAGUUAGGGGAUCAAACAGGAUUAGAUACCCAAGUAGUCCCUGAGCGGGCUGGCAAGGCGCAU
Molecule: ribosomal RNA, 447 nt
Filed under: uncultured bacterium
Lineage: Bacteria
Description: bacterial SSU rRNA
Rfam family: Bacterial small subunit ribosomal RNA
Source: RNAcentral